Dermochelys coriacea (leatherback sea turtle) is the source of this 1850-nucleotide long non-coding RNA. RefSeq lists it as uncharacterized. NCBI's taxonomy places the organism in Eukaryota, Metazoa, Chordata, Testudines, Dermochelyidae. The transcript has 2 exons. The record is from RefSeq and is a predicted model, not a curated record.
CACUUACACUGUGCAUUCAACAUAUUUUGUGGAUAGUCCAUUUCGGUGACCUUGAUUCUGCAUGCUCUCUGCAGGGGAGUGUUAAUCUAUUGCAGAUAUGAAACUGAAAGUAGACUGGAAUUGCAAGGUGGCAGGCUGUAGUGGAAGGGAGGAUCUGAACAUAUUUGGUGGUUGCCGUCAGGCCAGCCCAAAGAAUGAGUACCCAACUAGAGCAGUAAUUCCUGUUAAAACAUUUUAAAAGGAAUUGAGAAAUAGGCUGUAUUAAGAGUGCUCUGUCACAAGUUAGAUGUCAAGUUGUUAGGCUUGGUGAAAGAACUAAACUAUAUAAUACACAUUCUGUGAAAUGUCUGGCUCAAAUUUUGCUCUAAAUGAUUUCUUGUAAACUACCCUAAAAAUAUGCAUUUGAUGCUGUUUAAAAUAGUACCUAAAUGUGUGCAAUUUUUUUGAAAUUUAUGUAGUUGUAUGGUGGACCACUAGAGGGUGUAUUUUAAUCUUCCAUAAUAAUGAAGAGCAUUUAAAAGCAUGAAUGCUUUGUAAAGCAAAUGAUUUGCUCCUAGCUGCUUUUAAUUCACUGUCCGUGAUUCAGUAUAACAUUUACAUAGUAUAUUUAGAAAAUAAUGCAAACCACAAAAAUAUAUUCAUUCUUUGGCUAGGAAGUUUGAAUGUGGAGCUAACUAUCAUGGUAUUAGAAACAUCUGCAGCGAGAUUGCUGAAUAACCAUUGAAGUAGCCAUGUAAUAUUCCUUACAGCAGCACUCAUUCUGAUCCUGACUUGGGGGGGGGGUGAGGAGACACCAGAUUUUUCAGAACUAAAAGCCAUGGUGAGGGGGAUGGCAGGAUGGAUAUCUGGUAUGCUGGUGUGUGACAGCAGGGAGGGUUUGGGUGCAAGUCAGGGGAGUGACACAGAAGGAGUUUGGAAGCUGACAGACUGGAAGGUGGAGAAAGAAAAAAGAGUUGGUCUUCCCUUAUCCUUCCCAGCACUUUCUUUCCUUCGGAAUGAAAAUUUGGGAUGCAGUUCAACAAAGGGUUGGCUGGGAGCCGGUUGAGUUGUGUGGAGCCAGGGGCACCAGGGAAAACCUGGCUACUGAGGAUAGAGGAAGCUUGGAGGAAGCAGGCACAGGGCCUAGAAGUGUGUCUGUUGGGGAGAUUGGACACAGCUGGAAUCUGUGGGUUGAGACUGAGGGAGGAGUCAUGAAAAGCAGCGUUAAGGAAGAAUAUAGUGAAGGGUAGCUGGGAAUGGGGAACGUUGGAGGUAGACUGGCUACUGGGAGGCAAGGUAGCAGCAAGAGGUCUGGGACAUCCAGGAGUGGUUUGGGGAAUUCUGCAGAAGGAAAGGGUUGGGGGUGUUGCGGUGCUAAGUUUGUGGAAAAAAUUCUGCCUGUGCAGGUCAGGAACUACAAAGGAGUUCAUUACUAGUCCUGAUAUUUCCUCUUGGAUCUGUUCUCAAAUAGAUGAGUGAACAAAAUAGGCUGUAUUGAAAUCCAGCAGUUGUUGUAAACAAGAAUUGCUUUGAGAUGAAAAAUAUACAAGGGAAAAACAGGGCUCUUAACUCCUUAAAACUUGAGCUCGAAGGAGAGAAAGCAGUGAACUUCACGGAUUGAAAACUACAAAAUUUCAAAUUAGCACUGAAAUACUAUGAUAAGGGUCAUAUAAACACUUUCAUAAGUUAAUUGACUGACCAUCUUCUGAUCUUCAGCAGUUGUAAAGUCCUCCUGUGCACAACUUUACCUGCACGGUGUUGGUAUUUUUUUCAAGCCAUCCAUAUUUGUAUUAUUCUGUAUGUAUCUGAAAUUAAUUUAAUUUGUCAUUCUGCUGCCAAUGCUUGAAAUAUAUUUGAAUAUGACAUUCUUU